Long non-coding RNA from Sapajus apella (tufted capuchin), 1418 nucleotides. RefSeq lists it as uncharacterized. The transcript has 3 exons. NCBI's taxonomy places the organism in Eukaryota, Metazoa, Chordata, Mammalia, Primates, Cebidae. The record is from RefSeq and is a predicted model, not a curated record.
ACUAUCUUUAAAUGACAUUGCAACUUGAGGCUCAAAUUUGAUGAUCCUGGAAAACUUGAAAUGUAGUGCCCUGUUUUGAGAUUAAACUAUGGCUGCAAGUAAUUUGUAGAAAGCUGGCCUCCUGAUAGACUUGAAGAAGAAGAAAGAAAAAGAAAGAGGAAACAAAUUAAAGUUGUUCUGUCAGGCUUUGCUGGGCUCUAGAAAUCUUAAUUUAUAAUGAAAUAGGAGGUGAACUAAGAGGAGUACAAUGAGAAAAUAGGAAUGGGAAAAAAUUGACCAGGGACAGUGAAUAAACUGCUUACAUUAUCUUACAUCAGAAUUCAAGAGUCUCCAACAUUUUCAUUUGCUAAAUUCUCUCUUUUGUAUUUACUCUGAUAGUUUUACAAUUGUGGUAAUAUUAUAGAUGUAGUCUAGUUGUUAACAUUUGAAGGUAAUAGUAUCUCUAACCUGGGUCGGGUAGUAGUUUAUUAAAAUAUUUUCUCCUCAUUAAGCUGUGAGGUGUUAUCAAAUGGAAUAAGUAUUUGACUUUUCAGUGUGACCACACGAUAUAUGUGUUACAUAGGUUUGUCUUAAGAUGGAAACAUCAGAAAACCUGACUAAGAUCCAUCAGGAUUGAUGGGGUUUACUUUUUCUAGACAGUAAUAAGUCUGAAGGUAGGUGGUUCUGAGCAUUUAGGGGGGAAGACAUGUGAACUCUCUUUCCUGGUGGCAAGUAGCAAUCCUGGCUUAAUCAAGUUUAUACUCAAGGCAGAAAGAAGAAAGAAUGGAUGACAAAAGCUUCCCCAGAACCCACAUGUGGAGUUCUCCUAUGUCUCAUUAGCCAGAACUGGGCUUAUGUUGGUAAGCCCUAGCUGAAACAGAAACCAGGAAAGUGAGGAAUUAGUUUUUCCGCUUGUAUUGUGGAAGGUGAAAGGAAUGGUGGUUAGGAGAGGGUUACAGAGUUAGCAAGCCAAGAGGUGUAAUACCAAUGUGUAAGUAGGAUGUAUAAAUAUUAAGUCUAAGAAAACAAACUUUACUAGAACAUACCAAGAAGGACUAAUUAAUCAUCAUGGCUACCCAGAGCUGAAACAGGCUCCCCAGUAGGUAAUUCAUUCUCUAUCAGAGCGUAUGUUUAAACAUCGGUGAAUGAGCAUACUAUGGAGAAGAUUUAAACAUUAGAUAGAUAAGUGGUUGAACUUUAUGUCUUUAAGGUUGUCUUCAAUCCUCAGGAUUUGAAGAUACUCUGUAAACCUUCUAAUUGCUUGCAAUUUGAAAAUUGUUUUUUCUUUGUGGUUGACUUUUCUGUCAUGUCCACUGGAAUAAAUCUGGUUUACUUUUAUCUUAACAUUAAUAUCCAACAGUGAGAUAUCUAGUGUCUACAAAAAAAAGUGUAUUUAUCUUGAAACCAAUAAGAACAAAGACACAACAUUCCCGAAUCUC